UUGAAAAGUUGGGAGAUGAGAUAGGUCUAGGGGUGAAAAGCCAAUCGAACUAGGAAAUAGCCCGUUCUCUCCGAAAUGCAUUUAGGUGCAGCCUGAAUCUUAGAUAACUGGGGGUAGAGCACUGUAUGAUCUAGGGGGCGUACUGCUUACCGAAAUCAAGCAAACUGCGAAUACCAUUUAUUACUGAUUCGGAGUGAGUCCGUGGAUGACAAGGUCCGCGGACGAGAGGGGAACAGCCCAGACCACCAGCUAAGGUCCCAAAUUAUGUCUAAGUGGGAAAGGAGGUGGAUAUUCACAGACAACCAGGAGGUUGGCUUAGAAGCAGCCAUGCCUUGAAAGAGUGCGUAAUAGCUCACUGGUCGAGAGUAUCUGCGCCGAAGAUGUAACGGGGCUGAAGACAUAAACCGAAGCUGUGGAAGCGGCCAUGCCGCUUGGUAGGAGAGCGUUCUGUAGGUCUGCGAAGGCUGGCCGGAAGGCCUGCUGGAGACAUCAGAAGCGAGAAUGCAGGAAUGAGUAGCGAGAAGGAGGGCGAGAAUCCCUCCGGCCGGAAGUCCAAGGUUUCCGGGGGAAGGUUUGUCCGCCCCGGGGAAGUCGGGACCUAAGCGUAAGCAGAGAUGUGAUUGCGAAUGGGAAACAGGUUAAUAUUCCUGUACCGCUGCCAGUCGCCUGAGUGACGGAGUGACGCAGCAAGGUAUGUGAGAAGGCUGACGGAAUAGCCUUUCUAAAGGCGUAGCCUGGGCACGCAGGAAAAUCCGCGUGCCUAAAGGUGAGACCCUAUGGGCAAGUGCUCCUGCACAAGUCACAGAUCCUACACUGCCAAGAAAAACUUCUAGCGAGACUGGACAGCGCCCGUACCCUAAACCGACACAGGUGGACAGAGUGAGAAACUUAAGGCCGACAGGAUAACUCUAGCUAAGGAACUCUGCAAAAUAGCCCCGUAACUUCGGGAGAAGGGGUGCCUGACAUACCUGAAGAGAGAGACGCUCCUAGGGGAAACAGGCCGCAGUGAAGAGUCUCAAGCAACUGUUUACCAAAAACACAGGUCUAUGCUAAGCUGGAAGGCGACGUAUAUGGGCUGACACCUGCCCAGUGCCGGAAGGUUAAGAGGAGGAGUGAGAGCUCCGAUUUGAAGCCCCGGUGAACGGCGGCCGUAACUAUAACGGUCCUAAGGUAGCGAAAUUCCUUGUCGGGUAAG
Molecule: ribosomal RNA, 1195 nt
Filed under: human oral metagenome
Description: bacterial LSU rRNA
Rfam family: Bacterial large subunit ribosomal RNA
Source: RNAcentral